Molecule: ribosomal RNA, 485 nt
Filed under: Pseudomonas sp.
Lineage: Bacteria; Pseudomonadati; Pseudomonadota; Gammaproteobacteria; Pseudomonadales; Pseudomonadaceae
Description: bacterial SSU rRNA
Rfam family: Bacterial small subunit ribosomal RNA
Source: RNAcentral
AGGAGCUUGCUCCUGGAUUCAGCGGCGGACGGGUGAGUAAUGCCUAGGAAUCUGCCUGGUAGUGGGGGACAACGUUUCGAAAGGAACGCUAAUACCGCAUACGUCCUACGGGAGAAAGCAGGGGACCUUCGGGCCUUGCGCUAUCAGAUGAGCCUAGGUCGGAUUAGCUAGUUGGUGAGGUAAUGGCUCACCAAGGCGACGAUCCGUAACUGGUCUGAGAGGAUGAUCAGUCACACUGGAACUGAGACACGGUCCAGACUCCUACGGGAGGCAGCAGUGGGGAAUAUUGGACAAUGGGCGAAAGCCUGAUCCAGCCAUGCCGCGUGUGUGAAGAAGGUCUUCGGAUUGUAAAGCACUUUAAGUUGGGAGGAAGGGUUGUAGAUUAAUACUCUGCAAUUUUGACGUUACCGACAGAAUAAGCACCGGCUAACUCUGUGCCAGCAGCCGCGGUAAUACAGAGGGUGCAAGCGUUAAUCGGAAUUACU